Long non-coding RNA from Lytechinus pictus (painted urchin), 1839 nucleotides. RefSeq lists it as uncharacterized. The record is from RefSeq and is a predicted model, not a curated record. NCBI's taxonomy places the organism in Eukaryota, Metazoa, Echinodermata, Echinoidea, Temnopleuroida, Toxopneustidae. The transcript is spliced from 6 exons.
GCAAAGCCUAAAAUUGAAUAAAAGGCGAGGCCUGGAAUUGGACAGCAGUUUUCUUUCUGUAUUACGAGGGUAAUUUGAAAAAAGCACAGAGUACUUUCCACGAGAGCCAUGGCCCUGAAAUGGAAGCUUCAUCUGGCAGAAGUCACCAAACAGGAAGCACAGAGAAUGGAUCUAGAGUAGGAAUAAUUUGGUGUUGUGCUGCAGGAAUGCGGAUGAACUCAGGUCGAACGGCAAGAAGAUGCCUGUGCAGCCCAGAAAAAAUGCCGUCAGAUCUAGUGACCCUGAAAUCCAAGGUUCAUCUGGACGAAGUUGCCCAACAGGAAGCAUGCAACAUGGAGCUAGAGUGGGAAGAAUUCAUUAUCUGCUGAAGGAUGAACUCAACAAACUCGGGUCAAAUGUCUGGAAGAUACCUAGAAAUAUGCCACUAUAUCCAGAAGUACACAAGCACAGAGUGCUAUUCACAAGAGCAAGGCCCUGGAAUCCAAGGUUCAUCUGGCAGAAGUCACUCAACAGGAAGCACGCAACAUGGAGCUAGAGUGGGAAGAAUUCAUUAUCUGCUGAAGGAUGACCUCAACAAACCCAGGUCAAGAUGCCUAGAAAUAUGCUACCAUAUCCAGUCAAGCACAGAGUGCCAUUCAUGAGAGCUAAGCCCACAAAUCAAGGGUACGUCUAGAAGAAGUUGCCCUACUGGAAGCACAGAAAAUGGAGCUAGAUUAGGAAGAAUUUGGUGUCAUACUGGAGUAUGAACUCGAUAAACUGAGGUCAAAGGUCAAGAAAAUGCCCAGAAUCAUGCCACGAGUUCCAGUGUCUCGUUGUCACCAGUGUACACCAUGGAUACAUUCCUUUCUGGCGUUAACCAUCCUCCAAGCAUUAAUGAGAGAUGCUAAUGCUAAGCUACUGGAGACAAUGGCAUGACACCAAUCUUGAAAUCUUCAUCUACAUGCAAUGUCUGGUAUGAACAGUAGUUGAUAUUCAUGUGAGGUAUGAUACAAAAGAGACAUUGGAUUUGACACCGUCUUUACACUGAACACCAUCUACACAAAAGUACUUGACACCAACUGUCUGGGGAUUGGGGCAUCCAAAACUUUAGCCCUUCGCGGCAUUGGAUUAUUAUUUUAUAAAGGGUAAUUGAAUUUUCAUGCCCCCGCAGACAAAGUCCGGAGGGGGCAUUAAGCAUUGCCCCUGUCCGUCCGUCCCCCCACUUGGUUUCCGCGCAAUAACUCGAAAACUAUUAAUGGAUUUUAAAAAAUUUUGGUGUGUAGGUAGAUGACACCAAAAUACAGGCUAAGUUUGAAUUCGGAGUCCCCAGGUCAGAGGUCACAGCUCAUUAAAUAUGCGAGUUGGUUUUCGCAUGAUAAGUUAUGAAAUGUUCAACAGAUUAAAAAAAUUUAGAUAUGUAGGUAAAUAACACCAAAAUACAGGCUAAGUUCGAAUUUGAAGUCCGCAGGUGCGAAUUUGGGCGCUAAUGCAGUUUCGCAACGGCCGACUUCCGGCCAAUUUCACCACUACCAAUACUUCGCAAAUGUUAUAAAAAAUCUCUCAAUCCCAUUUCAAGGUCAAAUUGUGCCCAGCAUCGUAUUUCGCCGCUUUCUGAAAAAUUUCAAUUUUCGAUUGAUUCUAAUUUUGUUAAAAAUAACGAAUUUUGGAUUGAAAUCAUUACCUGCAUGUUUCCGUCCUACACACAAGAUGUACCUAAUGGCAUAGAGUAUUGUGAGCUGAAAUUAUCAAGCAAAUUUCUCUCUAUUUUGUAUGGUAGCUGCGAUAGAAAUUUUCCUUUCACUUUGCCUCGAAUGAGAAAGGUACUUGUUACUCAAGAGGAUUAAUGAAAAAGAUGAAAAA